RNAcentral lists this ribosomal RNA (1296 nucleotides) under metagenome. RNAcentral describes it as "bacterial LSU rRNA". It matches the Rfam family "Bacterial large subunit ribosomal RNA", at positions 1635 to 2925 of the family's 2925-position model. The record is from RNAcentral.
UACACGACCGUACCGCAAACCGACACUGGUGCGCGAGAUGAGUAUUCUAAGGCGCUUGAGAGAACUCAGGAGAAGGAACUCGGCAAAUUGACACCGUAACUUCGGAAGAAGGUGUGCCUUUAGUAGGUGAACCUGUACAAGGGGAGCCCAAUGAGGUUGCAAAAAAUCGGUGGCUGCGACUGUUUAAUAAAAACACAGCACUCUGCAAACACGAAAGUGGACGUAUAGGGUGUGACGCCUGCCCGGUGCUGGAAGAUUAAAUGAUGGGGUGCAAGCUCUUGAUUGAAGUCCCAGUAAACGGCGGCCGUAACAAUAACGGUCCUAAGGUAGCGAAAUUCCUUGUCGGGUAAGUUCCGACCUGCACGAAUGGCGUAACGAUGGCCACACUGUCUCCUCCUGAGACUCAGCGAAGUUGAAAUGUUUGUGAUGAUGCAAUCUCCCCGCGGAAAGACGGAAAGACCCCAUGAACCUUUACUGUAGCUUUGUAUUGGACUUUGAACAGAUCUGUGUAGGAUAGGUGGGAGGCUUUGAAGUGUGGUCGCUAGAUCGCAUGGAGCCAACGUUGAAAUACCACCCUGGUGUGUUUGAGGUUCUAACCUAGGCCCGUAAUCCGGGUCGGGGACAGUGCAUGGUAGGCAGUUUGACUGGGGCGGUCUCCUCCCAAAGCGUAACGGCAGUUCGAAGGUACGCUAGGUACGGUCGGACAUCGUGCUAAUAGUGCAAUGGCAUAAGCGUGCUUAACUGCGAGACUGACAAGUCGAGCAGAUGCGAAAGCAGGACAUAGUGAUCCGGUGGUUCUGUAUGGAAGGGCCAUCGCUCAACGGAUAAAAGGUACUCUGGGGAUAACAGGCUGAUACCGCCCAAGAGUUCAUAUCGACGGCGGUGUUUGGCACCUCGAUGUCGGCUCAUCUCAUCCUGGGGCUGUAGCCGGUCCCAAGGGUAUGGCUGUUCGCCAUUUAAAGAGGUACGUGAGCUGGGUUUAAAACGUCGUGAGACAGUUUGGUCCCUAUCUUCCGUGGGCGCUGCAGAUUUGAGGAAGCCUGCUCCUAGUACGAGAGGACCGGAGUGGACACACCUCUGGUGUAUCGGUUGUCACGCCAGUGGCAUUGCCGAGUAGCUAUGUGUGGAAGAGAUAACCGCUGAAAGCAUCUAAGCGGGAAACUCGUUUCAAGAUGAGAUCUGCCGGGGCCUUGAGCCCCCUAAAGAGUCGUUCAAGACCAGGACGUUGAUAGGUCGGGUGUAGAAGCGCAGUAAUGCGUUAAGCUAACCGAUACUAAUUGCUCGUGCGGCUUGAUC